This 110-nucleotide transfer RNA is filed under the name Thermoleophilaceae bacterium. Its description in RNAcentral is "tRNA-OTHER". The stretch from base 44 to 110 matches the Rfam family "tRNA". Rfam says of the family: Transfer RNA (tRNA) molecules are approximately 80 nucleotides in length. Their secondary structure includes four short double-helical elements and three loops (D, anti-codon, and T loops). Further hydrogen bonds mediate the characteristic L-shaped molecular structure. tRNAs have two regions of fundamental functional importance: the anti-codon, which is responsible for specific mRNA codon recognition, and the 3' end, to which the tRNAs corresponding amino acid is attached (by aminoacyl-tRNA synthetases). tRNAs cope with the degeneracy of the genetic code in two manners: having more than one tRNA (with a specific anti-codon) for a particular amino acid; and 'wobble' base-pairing, i.e. permitting non-standard base-pairing at the 3rd anti-codon position. The record is from RNAcentral. Lineage: Bacteria; Bacillati; Actinomycetota; Thermoleophilia; Thermoleophilales; Thermoleophilaceae.
GCGCCCGUUGCAGCGCAGCUCAGCCUUCCGCGCUCUGGCAAGCGGGCUCGAGUCGAUUCCGGGUCGGUCUACGGAACCGAAGGUCACAGGUUCGAAUCCUGUCGGGCGCG